AUGGAGAGCUACCUGGAGGAGAACUUCGGGGGCGUCAAGGGCAAGAACUCGUCCGAGGAGGCGCUGCGGCGCUGGCGCAAGCUCUGCAGCGUCGUCAAGAACCCCAAGCGACGCUUCCGCUUCACCGCCAACCUCGACAAGCGCGGCGAGGCGCAGGCCAUCAAGCACGCCAACCACGAGAAGCUGCGGGUUGCCGUGCUGGUGUCGAAAGCUGCACUGCAGUUUAUACAUGGCCUCAAACUUCGAAGUGAGUAUGUUGUCCCUGAAGAAGUCAAGGCUGCAGGGUUUCAGAUUUGCGCUGAUGAACUGGGGUCCAUUGUUGAGGGCCAUGACAGUAAAAAGUUGAUCAUCCACGGCGGAGUUGCCGGGUUAGCAGCCAAGCUUGCAACUUCGCCGACGGAUGGGCUUGAUACAGCUGAGGACAGCAUGCAGCGUAGGCAGGACAUAUAUGGAAUAAACAAAUUCACAGAAAGCGAGACCCGCAGUUUCUGGGUGUUUGUGUGGGAAGCUCUUCAAGAUACAACUCUUAUAAUUCUUGCUAUUUGCGCCUUUGUCUCGUUAGUUGUUGGCAUUACGAUGGAAGGAUGGCCAAAAGGUGCUCAUGAUGGUCUAGGAAUUGUUGCAAGUAUCCUCUUGGUUGUUUUCGUUACCGCGACAAGUGACUAUCGGCAGUCGCUGCAAUUCAAGGACCUGGACAAGGAGAAAAGAAAAAUUCAAGUGCAAGUUACAAGGAAAGGUUUCAGGCAAAGAAUAUCGAUAUAUGAUCUUCUUCCUGGAGAUGUCGUCAAUCUGGCAAUCGGAGAUCAGGUUCCUGCUGAUGGGCUCUUCAUUUCUGGGUUUUCUCUUUUGAUUAAUGAGUCCAGCCUAACCGGCGAGAGUGAACCUGUUGUUGUAAAUGAAGAAAACCCUUUUCUUUUGUCGGGUACCAAGGUCCAAGAUGGGUCCUGCAAGAUGCUUGUUACAACAGUUGGUAUGCGAACCCAGUGGGGAAAACUAAUGGCUACUCUCAGCGAAGGCGGGGACGAUGAAACCCCACUGCAGGUCAAACUUAAUGGAGUGGCAACUAUCAUUGGUCAGAUCGGACUAUUUUUCGCUGUCAUAACUUUCAUCGUCUUGUCUCAAGGGUUAAUCAGCAAAAAGUAUCACGAUGGUCUGCUCUUAAGCUGGUCAGGGGAUGAUGCACUGGCAAUGUUGGAGCAUUUUGCUAUUGCAGUUACCAUUGUUGUGGUUGCUGUUCCUGAGGGAUUGCCCUUAGCAGUCACACUGAGUCUGGCAUUUGCAAUGAAGAAAAUGAUGAAUGACAAGGCGCUGGUUCGCAACUUAGCUGCAUGUGAAACUAUGGGCUCAGCUACUACCAUCUGCAGUGACAAGACAGGGACACUAACAACUAAUCAUAUGACUGUUGUCAAGACCUGCAUUUGUGGAAAUAUCAGAGAGGUUAACAGUCCUCAGAAUGCGUCUAAGUUGUGUUCAGAACUUCCAGAAAAUGUUGUCAGAACUCUUCUCGAGUCUAUAUUUAACAAUACAGGUGGAGAGGUUGUUAUUAACCAAGAUGGGAAACACCAGAUCCUUGGUACCCCAACAGAGACAGCCAUAUUGGAGUUUGCAAUGUCAAUAGGUGGAAACUUUAAGGCAAAGCGUGCUGAAACUAAGAUUGCGAAAGUGGAGCCUUUCAAUUCAACAAAAAAGAGGAUGUGUGUCCUUCUUGAGCUUGCUGAAGGAGGAUACCGUUCACAUUGUAAAGGUGCUUCAGAAAUAGUCUUGGCUGCAUGUGAUAAGUUCAUAGAUGAGACAGGUGCUGUUACCCCUCUUGAUAAAGCAACUGCUGGCAAGCUCAAUGGUAUUAUUGAUGGUUUUGCUAAUGAAGCUCUUAGGACAUUGUGCCUUGCUUACAGGGAAAUGGAAGAAGGCUUUUCCAUUGAAGAGCAAUUACCACAGCAAGGGUACACAUGCAUUGCUAUCGUAGGUAUUAAAGAUCCUGUUCGCCCAGGUGUGAGAGAGUCUGUUGCAAUUUGCCGCUCUGCUGGAGUUACGGUGAGAAUGGUCACAGGUGACAACAUAAAUACAGCAAAGGCGAUUGCCCGUGAAUGUGGUAUACUCACCGAAGAUGGCCUGGCCAUCGAGGGACCGGAUUUCAGGGAGAAAACUCUUGAGGAACUCCUUGUGCUUGUUCCAAAAAUUCAGGUAAUGGCCCGAUCAUCACCGCUGGAUAAGCAUACACUUGUAAAGCAUUUGCGCACAACAUUCAAUGAAGUUGUUGCUGUUACUGGUGACGGCACAAAUGAUGCUCCUGCUCUGCAUGAAGCAGAUAUUGGACUUGCAAUGGGCAUUGCCGGGACUGAGGUGGCGAAAGAGAGUGCCGAUGUCAUCAUUCUGGACGACAAUUUCUCUACAAUUGUAACUGUUGCCAGAUGGGGGCGCUCUGUUUACGUCAACAUUCAGAAAUUUGUGCAGUUUCAGUUAACUGUUAAUGUUGUGGCUUUACUAGUUAACUUCUCCUCAGCUUGUUUUACAGGAAAUGCGCCACUGACGGCUGUUCAACUUCUUUGGGUCAACAUGAUUAUGGACACACUUGGCGCACUUGCAUUGGCCACUGAACCACCCAAUGAUGACUUGAUGAAGAGAGAGCCAGUAGGAAGAACAGGGAAGUUCAUCACAAAUGUGAUGUGGAGGAACAUUUUUGGGCAAUCUCUAUACCAAUUUGUUGUUAUGUGGUAUCUCCAGACGCAAGGAAAAACCUUUUUUGGGCUUGGAGGCUCUGAUGCUGAUAUAGUGCUGAAUACAAUUAUUUUCAACUCAUUCGUCUUCUGCCAGGUGUUCAAUGAGAUAAGUUCGAGGGAGAUGGAGAAGCUCAAUGUGCUCAAGGGCAUGCUGAAGAACUAUGUCUUCAUGUGUGUCCUCAGCAGCACCGUUGUCUUCCAGUUCAUCAUGGUCCAAUUCCUCGGCGAGUUUGCCAACACGACGCCUCUCACCAGUCUCCAGUGGCUAGCCAGCGUGCUCCUUGGCCUCGUCGGGAUGCCGAUCGCCGUUGUCGUCAAGCUCAUUCCUGUUGGGUCCUCCUGA
RNAcentral lists this ribosomal RNA (3063 nucleotides) under Triticum aestivum (bread wheat). Its description in RNAcentral is "partial small subunit ribosomal RNA". Lineage: Eukaryota; Viridiplantae; Streptophyta; Magnoliopsida; Poales; Poaceae. The record is from RNAcentral.